Molecule: ribosomal RNA, 500 nt
Filed under: uncultured bacterium
Lineage: Bacteria
Description: partial 16S ribosomal RNA
Rfam family: Bacterial small subunit ribosomal RNA
Source: RNAcentral
AUUGAACGCUGGCGGAAUGCUUUACACGUGCAAGUCGAACGGCAGCACGGACUUCGGUCUGGUGGCGAGUGGCGAACGGGUGAGUAAUGUAUCGGAACGUGCCCAGUCGUGGGGGACAACGUAGUGAAAAUUACGCUAAUACCGCAUACGAUCUAUGGAUGAAAGCGGGGGAUCGCAAGACCUCGCGCGAUUGGAGCGGCCGAGAUCCGAUUAGGUCGUUGGGGGGGUAGAGGCCCACCAAGCCAACGAGCCGUAGCUGGUCUGAGAGGACGAGUAGCCAGACUGGAACUGAGACAGAGUCCAGACUCCAACGGGUGGCAGCAGGGGGGAAUUUUGGACAAUGGGCGAAAGCCUGAUCCAGCCAUUCCGCGUGCAGGAUGAAGGCCCUCGGGUUGUAAACUGCUUUUGUACAGAACGAAAAGGUUUCUACUACUACUAGGAGCUUAUGACGGUACUGUAAGAAUAAGCAUCGGCUAACUACGUGCCAGCCGCCGCAGUAA